This 459-nucleotide ribosomal RNA is filed under the name uncultured bacterium. RNAcentral describes it as "partial 16S ribosomal RNA". It matches the Rfam family "Bacterial small subunit ribosomal RNA", at positions 338 to 795 of the family's 1533-position model. The record is from RNAcentral.
CCUACGGGAGGCUGCAGUGAGGAAUAUUGGUCAAUGGGCGCGAGCCUGAACCAGCCAAGUCGCGUGAGGGAAGACGGUCCUAUGGAUUGUAAACCUCUUUUGUCGGGGAGCAAAAGACGCCACGUGUGGCGUUCCGAGAGUACCCGAAGAAAAAGCAUCGGCUAACUCCGUGCCAGCAGCCGCGGUAAUACGGAGGAUGCGAGCGUUAUCCGGAUUUAUUGGGUUUAAAGGGUGCGCAGGCGGAAGAUGAAGUCAGCGGUAAAAUUGAGAGGCUCAACCUCUUCGAGCCGUUGAAACUGGUUUUCUUGAGUGGGCGAGAAGUAUGCGGAAUGCGUGGUGUAGCGGUGAAAUGCAUAGAUAUCACGCAGAACUCCGAUUGCGAAGGCAGCAUGCCGGCGCUCAACUGACGCUGAUGCACGAAAGUGUGGGUAUCGAACAGGAUUAGAUACCCCGGUAGUC